This 734-nucleotide ribosomal RNA is filed under the name Piromyces sp. RNAcentral's name for it is "LSU rRNA". It matches the Rfam family "Eukaryotic large subunit ribosomal RNA", at positions 67 to 651 of the family's 3401-position model. Lineage: Eukaryota; Fungi; Neocallimastigomycota; Neocallimastigomycetes; Neocallimastigales; Neocallimastigaceae. The record is from RNAcentral.
AAUAAGGGCAUCCUUAGUACGGCGAGUGAAGCGGGAAGAGCUCAAAUUUGAAAUCUUCAAGGUUUUACCUUGACGAAUUGUAGUUUAAAGAAGUGUUUUCUGUUGAAGUUUUGGUAAAAGUUCUUUGGAAUAGGACAUCAUAGAGGGUGAGAAUCCCGUAUUUGACCAUUAUUUUCAGCUGUGUGAUACACUUUCAAAGAGUCGGAUUGUUUGGGAAUGCAGUCCAAAAUGGGUGGUAAAUUUCAUCUAAAGCUAAAUAUUGGCGAGAGACCGAUAGCGAACAAGUACCGUGAGGGAAAGAUGAAAAGAACUUUGAAAAGAGAGUUAAACAGUACGUGAAAUUGUCAAAAGGGAAGCGUUUGACACCAGUGUUGUUUUCUCGAAAAUCAAUUAAAAAGAGUUGGAUUUUGUGUUGUAUUGACCUUAACAGCUUGCUUCACUCUUUUCCAGCUUUUUUUAAUGCACUUUUCGUUUAACAAGUCAACAUCAGUUUCUUUUGUUGUAAAAGGGUCAUUGGAAGGUGGCUUUCUCUUCGGAGAAAGUGUUUAUAGCCUUUGAUCUCUGCAAUCGGAGAGACUGAGGUCUGCAGCGUAGAUCCUUCGGGGUUAGAUACAUUUGUGCUAAGCUACAGCUUUUCAUAGACAACUUGUUGACUAUGUUUAGUCUUGUGACUUACCCGCUUAUGCUAUUUUACCUACGCUUAGGAUGUUGACAAAAUGGUUUUAAACGACCCG